CUCCUCCGACCACCAGGUGGCGCCUCCUGCUUUGGAUUGAGGUUGUUUGUGAGAAAGUUGAGGUGGAUCAGCUGCAGCUGACGCUGGUUUGUUGUCGUUUCUGUUGUGGCUGUACAGUGGCUCCAGAUACAGGAUGCAGGACACUGAAUCCAGUGUCUCAUGUGGCCCUGCAGCUUCUCCUCAGAAUCCUCAGAGGACGACUCAGAAUCACUCCCACUGGGAAGGCGUGUGAAGGAAGGUCCACCCGGCCGGUCCAGGAGCUCCGGUCCAGCAGAGCAGCGUCAGGAUGGAGACACAAGCAGGUGAUCUCCUUGUGGAAUAGAAGAAAACCCUGUACAUAAGUACGAAGUGCUUGCAGUCCAGAGGUAGUGGCAGUGGUUGGAGACCUGGAGAGCAGGGUUCAAUACCCUACCCUGGUGAAGCUUUUUCUUAAUUUUUGGCCAAAAAUAGGGGAAAAAAUGCAAAAAAAAAUAAAACCAACAGCAUCUUUUCUUCCUUUCUCCCCCUUCCUAUCCCAUCUUCCUUCUGGUCCGUGUCACCUUCACUUUCUCUGUCAUCUACUUGCGUUGGCAGACUUCAGUUCCAGUUGUCAUUUACCCCAUUUGUGUUACUCCUUGGUUCCAGUUGUUGUAUAUCCAUUUGUGUUACUCCUUGUUUCCCAGACUUUGGUUCCAGUUGUCAUUUCCUCAUUUGUGUUUAGUCCUUGGAUUUGAACCGGUGACGCUCUGCAUCUGAGUCCACUGCCAUACCUCUUGGCUAUUGUCUUCGGUACUGACUUAUAGCUUUAGUUUCAUUUUAUCACGUAAAGCCUGGUACUGAAUGCGUCCAAAAAGGUUCUCACUCAGGAUUCGAACCAUGGCUCUUCCAUAUGACAGCCAUAGAACUUAUAUCUACGCUAUCUUUCACACAAGAUGUCUAGUAGAGUUUGUGUUAAUGAUGGUACCAAGAGGUUCUCAGUCAGCCAAAAGACAGAAAAAGACUUGAGCUGGAUAUGAACCAAGAACCUUCUGGUCCAGAAGCACAGAACUUAUCACUGCACCAUCCUUCUUAUCAAGUGGAGCUCUUAGUUUUCUCAAAUGAUGGUACAAAGUAGUAUUAAAGCGGUCAAAGUACAAAUAAAAAGGUCCAGAGGGGGAUUUGAACCAUCGACCUUCAACAUUAGUGGCACAUAACUUACCUCUACAUCACCUCAAUGAUGGUGCCAAGAUGUUCUCAGGAAGCCAAAGAACUAAAAGAGUCUUCAUGCUGGAUUUAAACCAUAGCUUCCUGAACAAGAAGCACAGAACUUAUCUCUGCACCAUCUGUCUUACAAAGUGUAGCUCUUAGUUUUCUUAAAUGAUCGUACAAAGAAGUAUGAAAGAGGACAAUGGACAAAUAAAAAAGGUCCCGAGGAGGAUUUGAAUCAUAAACCUUCAACAUGAGAGGCAUAAAAUUUACCUCUGCACCAACCAUCCCACAUGCUGAAGCCGUAACUAUGCUUAAAUGAUGGUACCAGUAAAGAGUGGAGUGGAGUGGGCAAAGGAUAGACAAAAGGUCUGAAGGGAGAUUUCAACCACAAACCUUCAACAUGAGAGACACAAAGCUUAUCUCUGCACCAUCUUUCCCACAAAAAUUGGCUCUAACUUUGCUUAAAUAGUGGUACCAAUUCAUAUUUGCGAGGACAAAGUACAAGUAAAUGUCCGUGGGGGGAUUUCAACCAUAAACCUUCAACAUGAGAGGCACAAAACUUACCUCUGCACCAACUUUGCCACAAGGUACACCACUAACGAUGCUUAAAUGAUGGUGCCAAUUAGUAUCGGCGAGGACAAGUCCAAAUGAAAGGGCCUCAUGGGUUUUUUUCACCAUAAACCGCCAACAAAAGAGGCUCAAAACUUAUCUCUGCCCCAUGAUCCGCACAAGGUCUCUGAGUUUGUUUUAAUGAUGGUACCAAGAGGUUCUCAAUAAGCCAAAAGGACCUUCAGCUGGAUUUAAAGCAAGAACUUCCUAUGCAAGAGGCACAGUACAUAUCUCUACACCAUCUUUCUUGCAAAGUUCAUGCUUGCGUUUCUUCUUGUGAUGGUACUAAGAGGUUUUCAUGAAGACAAACGUACAAAAGCUGGACUUGAACAGUGAACCUCCUGCACAAGGAAGCAUCAGACUUUCCUCUACUCCACAACAUCUUGUACUUGCUCCUGCUCUAGUUUCUUCCUAUCGUGGUACCAGGAAGAUUGUCGAGGACAAACUGCAAAAUGUUUCCAAAGAUUGGACUUGAACCAACAACCUUCAAAAUGAAGAAGUUGCAGCAUUUCCACUAAACCACCAACUCAACCGGUUAAGUACUUCAACAUAUCAUUGCCUUGGAGAGUCUGAUGGUCUGAAUCUUGUGUUUGUUUUAUUUUUUAUUUGUUGCUUGACUUGAAAUGGAGAAGUAUUCACAAACAACAAAGUUUGCUUGGAUUAGAUCCAGAGAUCUUUUGAGUAAAAGUCAGCUUGUUUAAGCUCCGGAUUUUGAGAUCAAACGUAACGGCUGAAUCUGGUGUCCAGUCUUUGUGGUCCAACCUCCACACCUGAGCGUCACGGUGAAGCUACGAUGGAGCUGCAUGAUUGAUAAGAUAAGAUAAACUUUAUUCAUCCUGCAGGAGAUUUUUUUGCUUGAGUACAAUGCAAUCAAUAAAGGUCAGUGAAAUAUACACAAUUACACAGAGGUCAGUAGUAAAACAGAAAUAAAAACAAGAAUACAAAGUACAAAAUGUAAAGUGUCUCAGUGUUUGUAUGAAGUGUCUUAGCGGAUGCCAAGAAAUAGUGUCUAAAAAAUAAAUAAAAUAGAAAAUAAAAUAACACACUUCCAAAAUGUAAACUGCAGCAAGAACAAGAAACGGAUAAACAGGAAGUGAAGUGAAUACAAAAGUAAACAGAUGUAUAGAAACAUUCAGAGCCUAGAGAUACUAAGAGUUGCGACACUCCCAUAGGGUGCCGUUGUACGCUUUCUUUCGGUCUACUUCCGGGCUGUGGAGGCUUGUGUAGUUCCAAGCACCGCUUCGACAGUGAUAUCCACCGUUCAUUUGCACUGCAGGUUGUUGAGUAUAUGUGGAGGUAAGUUGAUGAAAUGCCUACCUCUUUUGAAUUGUCAACUGCCUAUAUUUUAUCAGAGGCUCUUUAUGAUGCAUAUGCUGAGCUUUAUUUGUAUUUGCGCAGCGUAAUUAUAUAUAUUUUUUAUCUUGGUCGACGACCGAAUUUCUGCUACUUUUUUUUUUAGCUCGACUCUGCUGUUAGCUGUGAAGUUAUCUCAAGGGAUAUAUUGACGGAUUAAUUGUUGAUGAGUCGCUACCUCUUUUUUAAUUUUAAUGUCUUUAUAUUAUAUCAGAAGCCCUUUGUGGUGCAUACAUUUAUCUGUAUUUGUGAAUAUUGGCAGAUGACCGACUUUCAGGCAUUGCCAUGUGCUUGUUAGCUCUUCUUUGAAAGCUGCCUAGCUACAUCGCUACCUCUUUUUAAUUGUCAAGACUACGUCCUUUAUAUGAGACCCUUUAUAAUGCAUAAACUUAUACUUGUAAGUAUUUAACAAAUAUAUUUAUUAAUAUCUAUCGUAUCUAUCUAUCCGCCAGUAUCCCGAGAGCCCUCACUGAAGACACGAAGACCCUCAUUGUUUCUCCCAUUGUUAAUAAAACAUACUAUUUCAUUCAUCAAAGCAUAAUGAGCUGUUAUUCUUGAAUAUAUAAUUUGUGUAUGUCUUAAAAUGGUUAUAGUGAGUCAACUCCUGCCUCAUCAGAAGUGGCUGGACACUAUCUGCUGAAUGGACUGUUGUUACUCUGCUUUUCAAUAACUCCCAGACUACGGGUAAGUGAAUCAGAGAAAUAUAGACAUUGUCUGGAAAUACAAUAAUCCAGCUGGGCAAAAAUUAACAUCUUCAGUCAUCUUACAUUUCUGUGUAAAAGUCGAUUUUCCAUGCUAACACGAAUGUGAAACAUUCCAAACUCCAAAACCCCAAAAGUGUCUUUAAUAUGUCACCUUACGGCUCGAAAUGUAAAACUGACAUUUACAUACAUACUCCAGUGAAUUAAUAAUCAAACAAGUACUUGGAGGUGUGAUUUUAUUCCUUUUUUACCGUGAAAUCGCCGCUCUCAGUCCCAUAGAAGGAAAUGACAGCGCUGCCUGUUUGGAACUAUUCAGGCUUACAUGAACCACGUGACCGCCCCGCUGCGAGAGCAUGAGUGUCGCAACUCUUACUAUCUCUAAGGCUCUGGAAACAUUGCACUUGAACAAUGGUAAUACAGAUAGUGAGACGAUCAAGGAAAAGUGUGAUGAUGCUGCACAUGGAAAUAAGUCCGUUGAUCAUGUAUCCCUCCUGCAGAAGACGGAGGAAGCGUACAGUCUGAUUUCCACAGGUAGGAAAGACCUCCUGUGUGGUUCUGUGGUGCGUCUCAGUGGUCUCAGUGUGUGACUGAAGGAGCUCUGACAGGACGUCAGCGUGGCAUGCAGGGGGUGAGAGGUGUUGUCCGUGAUGCUGAGCAGCUUCCUCAGCAUCUGACAUCUCCACCACAGACUCCAGCUCAACCCCCAGGACAGAGCCAGCUCUCCUGAUGAGACUGUUAAGUCUGUUAGUGUCGGCUGCCUUCAGCCUGCAAACUGCAGCGUAGAAGACGACGCUGGAGACCACUGAGCGAUAAAACAUCUGCAGCAUGUUUCUGAACGCAUCCGACAUCGCAUCCAUUGUUUAAGAACUGAGAAGCUCCUCAUUGCAUCAGCUAGGGUUAAAGAAGUUGUUGCAGCUGAAACACAUUCAUCACUGCAGUAAUUAUCCAAUGGAAGGCUCUUACCUAUUUGCUGCAUUAAAUCCAG
Long non-coding RNA from Acanthochromis polyacanthus (spiny chromis), 4815 nucleotides. RefSeq lists it as uncharacterized. The record is from RefSeq and is a predicted model, not a curated record. The transcript has 3 exons. NCBI's taxonomy places the organism in Eukaryota, Metazoa, Chordata, Actinopteri, Pomacentridae.